GAUCUUACAGUGGGGAAUGUCUUGGUUCGAGUCAUGAUGAAGAACGUAGAGGAGUGCGAUAAUCAAUUCGAACGGCGUUCGUUAGCGGAACAUUAGCAUUUUGAACGCAUGCGGCGUGCUGAUUAGUCUCAGCAUGA
RNAcentral lists this ribosomal RNA (137 nucleotides) under Euduboscquella sp. ex Favella markusovszkyi. RNAcentral describes it as "5.8S ribosomal RNA". It matches the Rfam family "5.8S ribosomal RNA". From Rfam's summary of the family: 5.8S ribosomal RNA (5.8S rRNA) is a component of the large subunit of the eukaryotic ribosome. It is transcribed by RNA polymerase I as part of the 45S precursor that also contains 18S and 28S rRNA. Lineage: Eukaryota; Dinophyceae; Syndiniales; Eudubosquellidae. The record is from RNAcentral.